RNAcentral lists this ribosomal RNA (465 nucleotides) under uncultured bacterium. Its description in RNAcentral is "partial 16S ribosomal RNA". It matches the Rfam family "Bacterial small subunit ribosomal RNA", at positions 28 to 507 of the family's 1533-position model. The record is from RNAcentral.
GACGAACGCUGGCGGCGUGCUUAACACAUGCAAGUCGAACGGAAAGGCCCCUUUGGGGGUACUCGAGUGGCGAACGGGUGAGUAACACGUGCGUAACCUGCCCUUGACUUCGGGAUUACUUCAGGUAACUGGGGCUAAUACCGGAUAGGAAUCCUUGCUGCAUGGUGGGGGUUGGAAAGUUUCGGCGGUUUUGGAUGGACUUGCGGCUUAUCAGCUUGUUGGUGGGGUAGUGGCUUACCAAGGCUUUGACGGGUAGCCGGCCUGAGAGGGCGACCGGCCACAUUGGGACUGAGAGACGGCCCAGACACCUACGGGAGGCAGCAGUGGGGAAUAUUGCACAAUGGGCGGAAGCCUGAUGCAGCAACGCCGCGUGCGGGAUGACGGCCUUCGGGUUGUAAACCGCUUUCAGCAGGGGCGAAGCUUGUGGUGACGGUACCUGCAGAAGAAGCACCGGCUAACUACGUG